Molecule: long non-coding RNA, 492 nt
Filed under: Sorghum bicolor (sorghum)
Lineage: Eukaryota; Viridiplantae; Streptophyta; Magnoliopsida; Poales; Poaceae
Description: long non-coding RNA (SBIC_LNC018741)
Source: RNAcentral
UGGCAACCUUGACUGUGCAUUCAUGCUGGAGCAUCUUUAUUUAUUUGUGCUGCUGGCUUUUGUUGGAAUUUAUUUGCUCUCAAAAUUCGAUUUAAAAAGGCUUUGGAAAAUUUAGAAAAAAAGGAAAAAGAAAAGAAAAACCAGCCGAACUCGGCUUGGUGGCCUGCUGGCCGAGAUGGCCCAACCAGCCCAACUUCUCUCCCCGGCCCAGCUUGCGCCCCCCGUGCCUCUCCUCCUCCCCUGGCCCGCUAAGCGCGGCCCGCCUAGCACCAGGCCGACCCGCGCGCCUUCCCCUCCCUCCUCUAUGGCCGACAGCCGGGCCCCACGCGUCAGCCUUUCCUCUCACCUUUCCUUCUUCUUCCUCCGCCGAGACGCAAGCAGGGGAACUUUCCUCCCCGUUUCAAACCCGAAUUCCGCGAUUCCUUGCCUUUUCCGUGGAAACAAACCUCUAUAAAGGCCUCAAGCCUCGCGCGCACUCCGUUCCUAUCCAAC